GGGUUAGCACUGUAUAAAAAAUCUAGUGUUUUGAAUCUUGAAACUUCAGCAAUACAUCAUCGUCGUGGUGCAUUUAAAACUGGUUGAUUUUGGGGGAAUCGUUGACUAUAAAAAGCUUAUGCUCUAUAUCUUCAGUGAACUUCCAUGGAAGCUCAUUUGCUGUUUCAAACCAAGGCCAUGAUGGUCUCAUUUGUACUGUCUUGAUAGGAAGGAGAGUGAAGGAUGGUGCUCUACUCCGCGUUUAUAUACUGAUUGUCUGCGGAUUGAGCCAGUGUUAAAAUCUCAAUGUUCCAAAUGUAUAUUCUACUGUAUUGUGAAUUUUAUUUUUUACCAUGUUUGUCUUUGAAAUUUGUUAAUGUAUAUACCAUGACUAAGCUAACGAGAAUGAUUCACAGAA
Molecule: long non-coding RNA, 397 nt
Organism: Populus nigra (black poplar)
Lineage: Eukaryota; Viridiplantae; Streptophyta; Magnoliopsida; Malpighiales; Salicaceae
Exons: 2
Source: RefSeq, a predicted model, not a curated record